This 405-nucleotide long non-coding RNA is filed under the name Ananas comosus (pineapple). RNAcentral's name for it is "long non-coding RNA (ACOM_LNC003237)". Lineage: Eukaryota; Viridiplantae; Streptophyta; Magnoliopsida; Poales; Bromeliaceae. The record is from RNAcentral.
UAUAUAUAUAUAUAGUGGAAGUGGCUCAAAAUCAACGGCUGAAAAUAAAAAUCUUACAAAAUAUGAUGAUAUGAUAUUAAAUUUUUAGAUCAAAGUUAUUGAUCUUGUUUUAUAUGGUAUAAAAAAUUUUCUAGCAAAAUUUCAUGUGAUUUGGAUAUUUCUACACUGUUAAACUUGCAAACGGCUCACCAUGGCCAUUAAAAUUAUUAAUUUUGUGCCCCUUCGAUCACUAGGCAAAUAAUAUCGAAAAAAAUCACAAAAUUUAUUUUCUAGAUACUUCAAAUAUUCUAGAUCAACUCUAACAGAACUAAUCGUCAAUUCGAAAGUCCGAACAUCGAAAACAACUUGGAAGUACGGAAGGCUCCGUGCUUCCAGAAGCAUACCAGCCCACUCCAAUAUAUUAUU